GUACCUGUAGUUCAAUGGAUAGAAUCUCGGACUUCGGAUCCGCUGAUGAGGGUUCGAAUCCUUCCAGGUGCA
This 72-nucleotide transfer RNA is filed under the name Cytophagales bacterium. Its description in RNAcentral is "tRNA-Arg". It matches the Rfam family "tRNA". From Rfam's summary of the family: Transfer RNA (tRNA) molecules are approximately 80 nucleotides in length. Their secondary structure includes four short double-helical elements and three loops (D, anti-codon, and T loops). Lineage: Bacteria; Pseudomonadati; Bacteroidota; Cytophagia; Cytophagales. The record is from RNAcentral.